GUGGGGAAUAUUGGGCAAUGGGGGAAACCCUGACCCAGCAACGCCGCGUGAAGGAAGAAGGUUUUCGGAUCGUAAACUUCUAUCCUUGGUGAAGAUAAUGACGGUAGCCAAGAAGGAAGCCCCGGCUAACUACGUGCCAGCAGCCGCGGUAAUACGUAGGGGGCAAGCGUUGUCCGGAAUGAUUGGGCGUAAAGGGCGCGUAGGCGGCCUGGUAAGUCUGGAGUGAAAGUCUUGCUUUUAAGGUGGGAAUUGCUUUGGAUACUGUCGGGCUUGAGUGCAGGAGAGGUAAGCGGAAUUCCCGGUGUAGCGGUGAAAUGCGUAGAGAUCGGGAGGAACACCAGUGGCGAAGGCGGCUUACUGGACUGUAACUGACGCUGAGGCGCGAAAGUGUGGGGAGCAAACAGGAUUAGAAACCCCAGUAGUCC
RNAcentral lists this ribosomal RNA (425 nucleotides) under uncultured bacterium. RNAcentral describes it as "partial 16S ribosomal RNA". It matches the Rfam family "Bacterial small subunit ribosomal RNA", at positions 354 to 796 of the family's 1533-position model. The record is from RNAcentral.